CAAUAGCGUAUAUUAAAGUUGUUGCGGUUAAAAAGCUCGUAGUUGGAUUUCUGCUGAGAACGACCGGUCCGCCCAUUGGGUGUGUAUCUGGCUCUUUCUUGGCAUCUUCUUGGUGAACGUUACUGCACUUGACUGUGUGGAGCGCUACCCAGGACUUUUACUUUGAGGAAAUUAGAGUGUUUCAAGCAGGCAUACGCCUUGAAUACGUUAGCAUGGAAUAAUAAGAUAGGACCUCGGUUCUAUUUUGUUGGUUUCUAGAGCUGAGGUAAUGAUUAAUAGGGAUAGUUGGGGGCAUUCGUAUUUAACUGUCAGAGGUGAAAUUCUUAGAUUUGUUAAAGACGGACUACUGCGAAAGCAUUUGCCAAGGAUGUUUUCAUUGA
This 380-nucleotide ribosomal RNA is filed under the name uncultured eukaryote. Its description in RNAcentral is "partial 18S ribosomal RNA". It matches the Rfam family "Eukaryotic small subunit ribosomal RNA", at positions 592 to 976 of the family's 1831-position model. The record is from RNAcentral.